Molecule: ribosomal RNA, 250 nt
Filed under: uncultured bacterium
Lineage: Bacteria
Description: partial 16S ribosomal RNA
Rfam family: Bacterial small subunit ribosomal RNA
Source: RNAcentral
UACGGAGGGUGCGAGCGUUAAUCGGAAUUACUGGGCGUAAAGGGUGCGUAGGUGGUUUAAUAAGUUAUCUGUGAAAGACCCGGGCUCAACCUGGGGGUGUCAGAUAAGACUGUUAAGCUAGAGUAUAGGAGAGGGCAGUGGAAUUUCCGGUGUAGCGGUGAAAUGCGUAGAGAUCGGAAGGAACACCAGUGGCGAAGGCGACUGCCUGGCCUGAUACUGACACUGAGGCACGAAAGCGUGGGUAGCAAAC